CGGGUUGAGGGAAAAGGAGCAAUACGCUUUGAGAUGGCCUCGCGUCCGAUUAGCUAGUUGGUGAGGUAACGGCCCACCAAGGCGACGAUCGGUAGCCGGACUGAGAGGUUGAACGGCCACAUUGGGACUGAGACACGGCCCAGACUCCUACGGGAGGCAGCAGUGGGGAAUAUUGCACAAUGGGGGAAACCCUGAUGCAGCGACGCCGCGUGGAGGAAGAAGGUCUUCGGAUUGUAAACUCCUGUUGUUGAGGAAGAUAAUGACGGUACUCAACAAGGAAGUGACGGCUAACUACGUGCCAGCAGCCGCGGUAAAACGUAGGUCACAAGCGUUGUCCGGAAUUACUGGGUGUAAAGGGAGCGCAGGCGGGAAGACAAGUUGGAAGUGAAAUCCAUGGGCUCAACCCAUGAACUGCUUUCAAAACUGUUUUUCUUGAGUAGUGCAGAGGUAGGCGGAAUUCCCGGUGUAGCGGUGGAAUGCGUAGAUAUCGGGAGGAACACCAGUGGCGAAGGCGGCCUACUGGGCACCAACUGACGCUGAGGCUCGAAAGUGUGGGUAGCAAACAGGAUUAGAUACCCUGGUAGUCCACACCGUAAACGAUGAUUACUAGGUGUUGGAGGAUUGACCCCUUCAGUG
This 636-nucleotide ribosomal RNA is filed under the name uncultured bacterium. RNAcentral describes it as "bacterial SSU rRNA". It matches the Rfam family "Bacterial small subunit ribosomal RNA", at positions 191 to 845 of the family's 1533-position model. The record is from RNAcentral.